GCUAGGCCAGAAGCUUGACGCCUUAAGUACAGCCGCAGACACACUUGGGCCAGAAAUUCAUGGCGAUUUUAGCAAUGUGAAGUGCA
Long non-coding RNA from Drosophila navojoa, 86 nucleotides. The record is from RefSeq and is a predicted model, not a curated record. Lineage: Eukaryota; Metazoa; Arthropoda; Insecta; Diptera; Drosophilidae.